GAUGAACGCUGGCGGCGUGCUUAACACAUGCAAGUCGAACGGAAAGGCCCAAGCUUGCUUGGGUACUCGAGUGGCGAACGGGUGAGUAACACGUGGGUGAUCUGCCCUGCACUUCGGGAUAAGCCUGGGAAACUGGGUCUAAUACCGGAUAGGACCACAUUUUGGAUGGUGUGGUGGAAAGUUUUUCGGUGUGGGAUGAGCUCGCGGCCUAUCAGCUUGUUGGUGGGGUAAUGGCCUACCAAGGCGUCGACGGGUAGCCGGCCUGAGAGGGUGUACGGCCACAUUGGGACUGAGAUACGGCCCAGACUCCUACGGGAGGCAGCAGUGGGGAAUAUUGCACAAUGGGCGCAAGCCUGAUGCAGCGACGCCGCGUGGGGGAUGACGGCCUUCGGGUUGUAAACUCCUUUCGCUAGGGACGAAGCGCAAGUGGCGGUACCUGGAGAAGAAGCACCGGCUAACUACGUG
Molecule: ribosomal RNA, 465 nt
Filed under: uncultured bacterium
Lineage: Bacteria
Description: partial 16S ribosomal RNA
Rfam family: Bacterial small subunit ribosomal RNA
Source: RNAcentral